UGAGGUAGGGUGUAUGGCUACCUUCACAGCAGCAACAGGAGGACCCAUGGAAAUAAGGUCAUGUAGGAGAAGCUGUUUUUCAUGAGGAUUACACCAGCUGCAUGAAAACCCCUUUAGUGCUGAUUUCACACCUGUUAGCUCCUGUGUGCUCGCUCUCUUUCCCUAAGGUGGAGGAAACCCUGAAAAUAACUUGCUAAGAGAUUCCCAAGAUCACCCACCACUUGGAAGGAGCUGUGAUAUCAAGUCUGUUCUUACUCUGCACUCUGGAAUGGGGCCCUGCUCUCUCAUCCUGGCUCUCUGGGUCAACUCCAAAGUUCUGCAGGGCACUGUACGUGGCACGUGACAGAGCAAGCCAAAAACAAAUGUCCAACGUGCAAGUUGUGAUACUUCAAGUCAAAACAUGCCCCUGUGCUGGAUUUCUAGAUCUUG
Parus major (Great Tit) is the source of this 429-nucleotide long non-coding RNA. RefSeq lists it as uncharacterized. The record is from RefSeq and is a predicted model, not a curated record. The transcript has 3 exons. NCBI's taxonomy places the organism in Eukaryota, Metazoa, Chordata, Aves, Passeriformes, Paridae.